This 419-nucleotide ribosomal RNA is filed under the name uncultured Prevotella sp. RNAcentral's name for it is "bacterial SSU rRNA". It matches the Rfam family "Bacterial small subunit ribosomal RNA", at positions 358 to 774 of the family's 1533-position model. Lineage: Bacteria; Pseudomonadati; Bacteroidota; Bacteroidia; Bacteroidales; Prevotellaceae. The record is from RNAcentral.
GGAAUAUUGGUCAAUGGACGAGAGUCUGAACCAGCCAAGUAGCGUGCAGGAUGACGGCCCUAUGGGUUGUAAACUGCUUUUAUGCGGGGAUAAAGUGAGGGACGUGUCCCUUUUUGUAGGUACCGCAUGAAUAAGGACCGGCUAAUUCCGUGCCAGCAGCCGCGGUAAUACGGAAGGUCCGGGCGUUAUCCGGAUUUAUUGGGUUUAAAGGGAGCGCAGGCUGAUUGUUAAGCGUGACGUGAAAUGUAGCCGCUCAACGGCUGAACUGCGUCGCGAACUGGUUAUCUUGAGUGAGUUCGAUGUUGGCGGAAUUCGUGGUGUAGCGGUGAAAUGCUUAGAUAUCACGAAGAACGCCGAUUGCGAAGGCAGCCAACAAGGCCUUUACUGACGCUAAAGCUCGAAGGUGCGGGUAUCGAACA